UAGGGAAUAUUGCGCAAUGGGCGAAAGCCUGACGCAGCGACACCGUGUGUAGGAUGAAGAUCUUCGGAUCGUAAACUAUUGUCAGUUGAAGACGAAGGCAGUAGAGUUAAGAGCUCGAAUGCUGACGGUAUUCAAUAAGGAAGUCUCGGCUAACUCCGUGCCAGCAGCCGCGGUAAUACGGAGGAGGCAAGCAUUGUCCGGAAUUAUUGGGCGUAAAGAACACGUAGGUGGUUUUUCAAGUCAUGUGUGAAAACUUUGGGCUUAACUCAAAGAUUGCAUAUGAUACUGAUUAACUAGAGUACAGUAGAGGAAAGUGGAAUUCCUGGUGUAGCGGUGAAAUGCGCAGAUAUCAGGAAGAACACCGGUGGCGAAAGCGGCUUUCUGGACUGUUACUGACGCUGAGGUGUGAAAGCUAGGGUAGCGAACAGG
Molecule: ribosomal RNA, 429 nt
Filed under: uncultured bacterium
Lineage: Bacteria
Description: bacterial SSU rRNA
Rfam family: Bacterial small subunit ribosomal RNA
Source: RNAcentral